AUACAUGCAAGUCGAGCGGAUGCUUCAUUUCGCUUCUUUUGAAGAUCAGCGGCGGACGGGUGAGUAACACGUGGGCAACCUGCCUGUAAGACUGGGAUAACUUCGGGAAACCGGAGCUAAUACCGGAUAAUCCUUUCCCUCUCAUGAGGGAAAGCUGAAAGACGGUUUCGGCUGUCACUUACAGAUGGGCCCGCGGCGCAUUAGCUAGUUGGUGAGGUAACGGCUCACCAAGGCGACGAUGCGUAGCCGACCUGAGAGGGUGAUCGGCCACACUGGGACUGAGACACGGCCCAGACUCCUACGGGAGGCAGCAGUAGGGAAUCUUCCGCAAUGGACGAAAGUCUGACGGAGCAACGCCGCGUGAGCGAUGAAGGCCUUCGGGUCGUAAAGCUCUGUUGUCAGGGAAAGAAACAAGUAUCGGAGUAACUGCCCGGUACCCUUGACGGUACCUGACCAGAAAGCCACGGCUAACUACGUGCCAGCAGCCGCGGUAGAUACGGUAGGUGGCAAGCGUUGUCCGGAAUUAUUGGGCGUAAAGCGCGCGCAGGCGGUUCCUUAAGUCUGAUGUGAAAGCCCCCCCGGCUCAACCGGGGGAGGG
Molecule: ribosomal RNA, 598 nt
Filed under: Bacillus sp. (in: firmicutes)
Lineage: Bacteria; Bacillati; Bacillota; Bacilli; Caryophanales; Bacillaceae
Description: bacterial SSU rRNA
Rfam family: Bacterial small subunit ribosomal RNA
Source: RNAcentral